Molecule: transfer RNA, 69 nt
Filed under: Cosmetura nigrogeniculata
Lineage: Eukaryota; Metazoa; Arthropoda; Insecta; Orthoptera; Tettigoniidae
Description: tRNA-Asn
Source: RNAcentral
UUAAUUGAAACCAAAGUAGCGGUAUAUUACUGUUAAUAAUAUUAGUGAAAAACCUUUUUUCCAAUUAAG